RNAcentral lists this long non-coding RNA (239 nucleotides) under Brassica napus (rape). RNAcentral describes it as "long non-coding RNA (BNAP_LNC011438)". Lineage: Eukaryota; Viridiplantae; Streptophyta; Magnoliopsida; Brassicales; Brassicaceae. The record is from RNAcentral.
GAUUUGGUUGUGUUUACAAUUUGUUUGUGUUAGAGAAUGGUUGAACAAGGAAUGGAAGGAAGUCAACCAGUUGACUUUAUGAAGCAUCCUCCAGGGAUAAAGGACAACAACAGUCCCUUUGUAUUUGGUGAUAUAUGCAAAUACUGUAUCAUGAUGAAGGAUACAUGAGAAUCUGAGUUGUUUUGCUUUCUGAGAAAACCCAAUUUAUAUUUGUCCCUAGAAUGUUUUUGAAAGAAACA